GCUUAUGCAGGCUGCGAUUUCCAGGGAAACCACUGAGCGUCACCCACGGAUAUUCUCCGCAGUUAUUUAGGGACUGGCAAAGCAGGAUCACUGUCUUGGUUGUGAGUUUUCCCACGUGUAGGGAACUUUCGCCAGAUUUGGAAUUUGUAAAGACAACUUCUGAAACUACAGUAUUUUUAUGUCAUUUCACCGUUCACAAAAUAGUUUACAGUUUUCACUAGUAGAUAAGCAAAUUGUUUACGAAUUAUUAUACUUUUUGACCCCUCAGCUUUAUAAAAAAAUCAAAGCCAAGACUUUGUUUACUCAAGAGAGUUGACAGAGGAAAUAGGAUUUUUUCUUCUAAUUUCAACCUUAACAAAACGAUCAAUUACAGUUUUCACAAAUCCUCCCUAAAUGUCCGUAUGUUUAAAGGAUCAUGGAGAUUACAGAAGGAAUUAUGUCUUAAUCAAAGAGGAGAGACGAAUGGCAGAGGAAAUGCAGGGCAGAAUAAAUCAGUUCUCUUCUAGAAUCUACCCCAUUUCCUGGUUCUAGGCUAAACAACUCCUAUGCAACAAGGAUAAAUGAAUGACCACGAAGAAUUACACAGUACUCAAG
Molecule: long non-coding RNA, 594 nt
Filed under: Heterocephalus glaber (naked mole-rat)
Lineage: Eukaryota; Metazoa; Chordata; Mammalia; Rodentia; Bathyergidae
Description: lncRNA (ENSHGLG00000042731.1)
Source: RNAcentral